GGCUGGUUAGCUCAGUGGGUUGAGCGCGGUAAUGACAACACCAAGGUCGCGGGUUUGAUUCCCGCUCGGUCC
This 72-nucleotide transfer RNA is filed under the name Apaloderma vittatum (bar-tailed trogon). It matches the Rfam family "tRNA". From Rfam's summary of the family: Transfer RNA (tRNA) molecules are approximately 80 nucleotides in length. Their secondary structure includes four short double-helical elements and three loops (D, anti-codon, and T loops). Further hydrogen bonds mediate the characteristic L-shaped molecular structure. tRNAs have two regions of fundamental functional importance: the anti-codon, which is responsible for specific mRNA codon recognition, and the 3' end, to which the tRNAs corresponding amino acid is attached (by aminoacyl-tRNA synthetases). tRNAs cope with the degeneracy of the genetic code in two manners: having more than one tRNA (with a specific anti-codon) for a particular amino acid; and 'wobble' base-pairing, i.e. permitting non-standard base-pairing at the 3rd anti-codon position. The record is from Rfam by way of RNAcentral. Lineage: Eukaryota; Metazoa; Chordata; Aves; Trogoniformes; Trogonidae.